Molecule: unclassified non-coding RNA, 431 nt
Filed under: soil metagenome
Description: partial contains 5.8S ribosomal RNA, internal transcribed spacer 2, and large subunit ribosomal RNA
Rfam family: 5.8S ribosomal RNA (bases 1-120)
Source: RNAcentral
GAUGAAGAACGUAGCGAAAUGCGAUACGUAAUGUGAAUUGCAGAAUUCAGUGAAUCAUCGAAUCUUUGAACGCAUAUUGCGCUCUCUGGUAUUCCGGAGAGCAUGCUUGUUUGAGUAUCAGUAAACACCUCAACUCCCCUUUCUUUUUUGAAAUGGGAGCUGGACUUGAGUGAUCCCAACGCUUUUCUCACCGAAAAGUGGCGGGUUACUUGAAAUGCAGGUGCAGCUGGACUUUUCUCUGAGCUAAAAGCAUAUCUAUUUAGUCUGCCUAAAAACAGAUUAUUACCUUUGCUGCAGCUAACAUAAAGGAGAUUAGUUCUUGUGCUGACUGAUGCAGGAUUCACAGAGACAGCUUCGGCUGGCCUUUGUAAACUCGAUCUCAAAUCAAGUAAGACUACCCGCUGAACUUAAGCAUAUCAAUCAGCGGAGGA